This is a non-coding RNA of Poecilia reticulata (guppy), 4047 nucleotides long. NCBI's taxonomy places the organism in Eukaryota, Metazoa, Chordata, Actinopteri, Cyprinodontiformes, Poeciliidae. The record is from RefSeq and is a predicted model, not a curated record.
ACUUGCUAAAUUCAUAAAACAUCAUCUUGUCCCCAGCAAGUAACAUUUGAUAUUACAUCUAAGGCCCAGAGCAGAGAUGUUUGCCAGAAUCCCAUCAAAUGAAAUUUCUAAAAAUACUGACUAGCAUGUUCUCCCUCAAAGGCUCUCAGUGGCCCUUUAAGAAGGACCGGAGGAGGAGAAGUCCCCUGCUAUCUAUUUUCUUUGGCACCGCAGCUCUUUUCUGAACGCUUUUCAUUUGAUUCCUUGCCUCUGCUUUUUUUUUUUUUCCUUUUCCCCCCUCAUCUCUCUGCUUCUUUUCCAACGCCUGCUCAUGAUGUCAAUUUAAUUCAAUCUAAAGGACAUAAAGCGGAGCAGCAUCUUUUAAUGUCUUUUUGGAAAGGCACUUGUAACACAUUAAAUUUACUUUCACCUUUUCAGCUGAGAUUUUAAGGGGCGAGAAAGAAAGAUCAAUUAUUUGCCGAAUUUGAAGUUUCAUUAAAAUCACUUUUCUCUGCCUGUGUCCUUGCGUCGUUUUAAGUGGGCCAUCUGUCUAAACAUCUCUCAGGGUUCUUUUUCCUUUUUUUUCUGAUCAUUUCCUCGCCUUAUUCAUGAACCCUAGGAGUCCAGCUUUGUAGUAGUGUUGGAGCUGGAGCAGCCUCCCCCCGCUGAAUACAGCUCUGGGCCUCAGCCUGCGCAAGACUUUCCCCCCCCUCUGCCCAGUAAGGCACCCCCACCCACACCCCCUUCACCGCAAACUCUCCCAAAUAGCCUCCCCUUUCCUUUUGCGUCCCUUCAUAAGGGCCCGCAGAGUGUCUGAACUUGCUACACGUAAAAUGACCCGCCUCAUUGUGGCCGGUUCUCCUCGCCCUCCGUCUCCCUCGCUCUCUUCGCCUCUCUCCGACCCACCUACUGUUUCAGAUCCCCCUGUCUUUUCCCUCCUUCCCUGCUUCUCCUACUUAUUGCAGAUUUGUAUGCAGGCUGUGACCUAGGUGGCUACAAAGCACGGCAGAUUAUUCUUGAUCAUUCCUCUGCCCCCCAUGAAGCCAGUUAUGAGAAAAGAUCCCUUAAUGAUGCUCUGACUAUUAACAGUGUUUUAUGUCCAAAUGUCUGCCCCAUUCUCCUAACAAACUGGUACAAUAUAGACACAAGGAACUUGAGGAGUGACUAGACAUACAUAGACCUUUGUGAUUAAGCUUGUAAUUGGUUAUCAGAGGCUUCACACUGAAUAAAGCAUUCACUGAUGAUGCACUUUUGGAUUCUUUGACCAAAAGGUCAGAAGCCAAAUAAAUAACAUAUAUAAAGGAUUUCUGCAUUUGUGCUCUGCUACAGACAUAUGAAAGACUGAGAUUAGACCCGACUGCUGUCUCCUGUCACUGUGCCAGUAUUGUGUCUGUAGUGGGUCCAUCCAGGCCCCCACAUCUCCCAUCUCAUCCCGGGCUCAUCCCUCUGUCUGUAGGAAGACAAGUCGCAGCGCCAGUCUGGCUCCCAGCCAGUGUGGAAGCUCUGGCUCCUCCAGAGUUACUCUAUCCCUCCUGGCUCUCCUUGCCUGUUUGGUCCAUUUCAGUGGAUGUGCCAUGUCUUGCUGUGAAAGAGCGUUACGCAGCCCACAAGUGACCCACAAGUGCCCAAACUGAAUACAGUGUGCUAAUAGCUGUGAGAAGACACCCUGGGAGCAACCAUGAAAUAUGUGCAAGGACCCGUGACCACUGAGAUAAUAGCCCCUGACCAGACCACGGAUUGUCUGUCCACUCUCUCCUCCGCCGCUCUCCCGCUCAGGUUUGGAGUGGCUCGGGUCCAGGACAGAUGGUUUCCAGACGAGCCACUAAACACAAGCCACAGCAGGGCCGGUGCUGGCUAUUUCCUAGCAGGGAGUUUUGUUUGUGGGAGCUUUUUGUGUUCAUCUGCCGAACCACAUCCAGGGCAGAAAGAAGAGAAGAUGGGGGCAGCUCUAAUUAAAGCCCAAGGAAGAGUGUCAUCUGCUGUGAACUCACAACCGGGGGGGUACAGCAAAUCAAUGGACAGCCAGCUCUGUCAUCACCAUCAACAGCUCCCGAUCAGAGCAAUUGGAGGGGAACAAAAAGGAGCGAGAAAGACACUACCGGGGAAGCUUCUACCACCUGUGCCGAGCCUAAGAGUGCCGAGGGGGAGAGAAAGAGGGAGACGGGCACAGAGAUCCAUGAAAAACACAGACCGAAAUUGUGACGCCACGGUUCAAUCUAUUGUGAAACACUGGAGAUUUAUCGUUUCUUAGUUAGGGUUAGCAAUUUUGCAAUCAUCACCCUGGACAUCUAUUUUGAUAAACAAAGGUGCAAUUCUAUGACCAGAAUGAUCUAAAGACCUUUUAAAAAAUAUCGAUUUUUCUUUCUUUCUUUUUUUUUCCCCCUCUUGCUUUUGCUAUUGAAUCUAGCGGCUACACAGAGAGAGAGAGUGCCAACGAUAAAUGUUUCUUGCAACAAGAAAAAGUGUUUCCAGCGCAAAUUUCAGAGUAUUGAACUCUGCAAGCGGUAUCAGUGCUCUCCUGUGUGUGUGAACCGUGCCUCCGGGCCAGAGAGCUGAGGUGCGCUGGAUCAGAUUCUUACACAAACAUGGCCGCAGAGACGGCAUGUUCUCGUGGCAUUAGUAUUUCAAAUGUUUUUUUUUUUUGUUUGUUUUUUCGAGACGAACGUGAAUGCGACUAUUUUUGUCUCAUAACGCGCGCUCUCAGAUAGCCCCUUUUGAAUAAAUGAAUUCUGACAAGGGGAAUCUGCAUACAAAAACACAGCAGGUUUUAAGGCAGCGGCUGGUCGACCAUCGAAGACCUCUGAAGUCCUCCCUGAAUCUCUUCAUUCAUCGCCUGCUCCUUGCGGGCCCGCGGCUCUUUAAAUGGCCGCCUGUGUUUGUGCCGUGUUCACACUGGUGGUUAGAGAGGCAGCGAGGCAUACACCAACACAUUAAGUCCUCUGUGUUUGUGGUUGGCACCUGCAAAUCCUUUUGCUUGCCUUAAUGUCAUGCAGAAAUGUGUUGAAUUUAAAAUGUGAUCUUAAAUGGAACCUUGAGUGUGAUUCUGCAAAGAAAAUAAGAAAAAGCAGCAUACUUGUUUUUGCCUUCAGGCAGGCACAAAUUUAUUGGUCUUUGUGCCAGAAAUUCAGACACCUCAGCUGUGAGACCAAACCGUUUCUAAGAGCUCUAAACUUUCUACACUUUUACCUUGCAGGGUUAAAGACUAUUUGAUUUGUGUUUUGUUUUACUGUCUAGUGCCAGCCUUUCUCAAUGUGCUGAGUUAACCCAAAAACUGGGUUAGAGUGACCAGUGUGUCACACUGAGGCAGCCAAAGAGUGGCCUAAAAAAUGACAAUGAUCCAAACUACAAAAAAAUGACACAUAUAUAUGUUAUGUGUUACAUUUCUUUCAAUUACUUUCAAUUAUUAAGUAAAGACAACAAAACUGUCUAAUUUGUAAUGACGCCGUUGUUGACAAAUUUAAUAUAAAUAGUAAAAUUCCUAUUUAACAUCCCAUUGUAUGAAAUUAGUAAGAGUCAUUUUCUUGUUCUCUUUUGUUAAAACUCCAAGAUCACAUGUUGAAAUUAGCACGGCUAAAACCAGGAAUAAAGCUGUAACACAGGUAGCAAGAGAAAUAUGUGUGAAGAAGUUUCUUAGGCAGACUGGAUUGACUGCAUGACCAGUUUGGUCAACGUGAAUGUUCAACACAACAAGCACAAGCUUAUUUUAGCUACUCUCCUGGUCAAACAUGAAGGUCGUCUAGAGUAAAACACCCUGACAGUUGCCUUAUUUUACCCUCUAAUCAUUUCCUGUUUCACUGUGUGUGGAAGAACACUGAAAUCUGAUCAGGCUGUGCAGCCAGGUUGGUUUUGAUGGUUCUUUUUCUCCAAAUGAAGGAAAUCUUAAUUUGAAAACUGUGUUUUAUAUUUACUCAGGAUGCAGUUGUCUGAUAUUAAAAUAUUUUUGAUAAUGUAAAACAUUUGAGUGUGACAAAAAAAAAAGUCCUGUCAUGACGUUUUUGUUACUUUGAUCACUUAGUUUUGUACAGUGUCUGUAUUGGGGUGAACAGCAUAAACUUUAGAUUGUGCUGC